This is a non-coding RNA of Thozetella sp. PMI_491, 92 nucleotides long. The record is from the annotation of a GenBank genome assembly. NCBI's taxonomy places the organism in Eukaryota, Fungi, Ascomycota, Sordariomycetes, Chaetosphaeriales, Chaetosphaeriaceae.
UCCGCUAUAGUGUAGAGGUUUAGCAUACCAGAUUUUCAGAGAAACGCAUCCUGGACAUUCUGGGGACCCGGGUUCGAACCCCGGUAGCGGAG